UCUGUUUUCAGAGCAUGAAGACCAGGUUAUUAUCUGUUUUCAGAGCAUGAAGACCAGGUUAUUAUCUGUUUUCAGAGCAUGAAUAAGUGUAUGAUAUUUAUUUUAUUUGCAUUUACACUCUAAGAUUGCCCUAAUGCACCAUAGGUCUCUGGUCAAAAGCAGUGCACUAUUUAGGGAAUAGGGUGCCAAUUGGGACAGGUGGUGAAAGGUCAUGCCAUGGACAUACGACUUAAGCAUGGUGUUAAUUGGUCGAACUCUAACCACCAGUCAGCUCCAUCUGUUUCAGUUGGAAUGAAAAGGGUUUCAGAAAGCCCUGACAUUUAGGCCAGCUGACGCUGUUAUACUGUAUAUCUACUACAUUAUGGAGGGAACUGGUGUCACGUUCUGACCUUAGAUCUUUUGUUAUGUCUUUGUUUUAUGUUGUCUAUGUUCCUUUUUCUAUGUUUUGGGAUUUCUGUGUUUGGUCUGGUAUGGUUCUCAAUCAGAGGCAGCUGUCAAUCGUUGUCCCUGAUCGAGAACCAUACUUAGGUAGCCCGGUUUCACUUUUGAGUUGUGGGUGAUUGUUUUCUGUUUUGUGUCGACACCAGACAGGACUGUUUCGUUUCGUUCAUUCUCCGUUGUUAUUUUGUUUAGUGUUCUUUAUGAUAAUAAAUUAUCAAUAUGGACACUUA
This is a long non-coding RNA of Oncorhynchus masou masou (cherry salmon), 671 nucleotides long. RefSeq lists it as uncharacterized. The transcript has 2 exons. The record is from RefSeq and is a predicted model, not a curated record. NCBI's taxonomy places the organism in Eukaryota, Metazoa, Chordata, Actinopteri, Salmoniformes, Salmonidae.